Molecule: ribosomal RNA, 555 nt
Filed under: bacterium 1e82709C
Lineage: Bacteria
Also listed under: 1 other name
Description: bacterial SSU rRNA
Rfam family: Bacterial small subunit ribosomal RNA
Source: RNAcentral
GGCGGUGACGGGUAGCCGGCCUGAGAGGGCGACCGGCCACACUGGGACUGAGACACGGCCCAGACUCCUACGGGAGGCAGCAGUGGGGAAUAUUGCGCAAUGGGCGGAAGCCUGACGCAGCGACGCCGCGUGGGGGAUGACGGCCUUCGGGUUGUAAACCUCUUUCGCCAGGGACGAAGAGUGAUUGACGGUACCUGGAGAAGAAGCACCGGCCAACUACGUGCCAGCAGCCGCGGUAACACGUAGGGUGCGAGCGUUGUCCGGAAUUAUUGGGCGUAAAGAGCUCGUAGGCGGUGUGUCGCGUCGGCCGUGAAAACUUGGGGCUUAACUCUGAGCGUGCGGUCGAUACGGGCAUCACUUGAGUUCGGCAGGGGAGACUGGAAUUCCUGGUGUAGCGGUGAAAUGCGCAGAUAUCAGGAGGAACACCGGUGGCGAAGGCGGGUCUCUGGGCCGAUACUGACGCUGAGGAGCGAAAGCGUGGGGAGCGAACAGGAUUAGAUACCCUGGUAGUCCACGCCGUAAACGUUGGGCGCUAGGUGUGGGGACCAUUCCACG